GGACCCAUGGCUUAACUGGAUAGAGCACUUGACUACGGAUCAGGAGGUUGCAGGUUCGAAUCCUGCUGGGUUCACUA
This 77-nucleotide transfer RNA is filed under the name Flavobacteriales bacterium. Its description in RNAcentral is "tRNA-Arg". It matches the Rfam family "tRNA". Rfam says of the family: Transfer RNA (tRNA) molecules are approximately 80 nucleotides in length. Their secondary structure includes four short double-helical elements and three loops (D, anti-codon, and T loops). Further hydrogen bonds mediate the characteristic L-shaped molecular structure. tRNAs have two regions of fundamental functional importance: the anti-codon, which is responsible for specific mRNA codon recognition, and the 3' end, to which the tRNAs corresponding amino acid is attached (by aminoacyl-tRNA synthetases). tRNAs cope with the degeneracy of the genetic code in two manners: having more than one tRNA (with a specific anti-codon) for a particular amino acid; and 'wobble' base-pairing, i.e. permitting non-standard base-pairing at the 3rd anti-codon position. Lineage: Bacteria; Pseudomonadati; Bacteroidota; Flavobacteriia; Flavobacteriales. The record is from RNAcentral.